Molecule: ribosomal RNA, 253 nt
Filed under: uncultured bacterium
Lineage: Bacteria
Description: partial 16S ribosomal RNA
Rfam family: Bacterial small subunit ribosomal RNA
Source: RNAcentral
UACAGGGGGGGCGAGCGUUGUUCGGAAUUACUGGGCGUAAAGGGUUUGUAGGUGGCUUGCUCAGUCAGACGUGAAAUCCCUCAGCUUAACUGGGGAACUGCGUCUGAUACUAGCGAGCUUGAGUGCAGGAGAGGAACGCGGAAUUCCAGGUGUAGCGGUGAAAUGCGUAGAGAUCAUGAGGAAGACCAGUGGCGAAGGCGGGUCUCUGGACAGUUCCUGACACUGAGACACGAAGGCCAGGGGAGCAAACGGG